GACGAACGCUGGCGGCGUGCUUAACACAUGCAAGUCGAACGGAAAGGCCCCUUUGGGGGUACUCGAGUGGCGAACGGGGGAGUAACACGUGAGUAACCUGCCCUUGACUUCGGGAUAACUUCAGGAAACUGGGGCUAAUACCGGAUAGGAAUCAUUGCUGCAUGGUGGGGGUUGGAAAGCUUCGGCGGUUUUGGAUGGACUCGCGGCUUAUCAGCUUGUUGGUGGGGUAGUGGCUUACCAAGGCGUCGACGGGUAGCCGGCCUGAGAGGGCGACCGGCCACAUUGGGACUGAGAUACGGCCCCGACUCCUACGGGAGGAAGAAGGGGGGAAUCUUGCACCAGGGGCGGCAGCCGGAUGCAGCAACGCCGCGUGCGGGAUGACGGCCUUCGGGUUGAAAACCGCUUUCAGCAGGGGCGAAGCUUGUGGUGACGGUACCUGCAGAAGAAGCACCGGCUAACUACGUG
RNAcentral lists this ribosomal RNA (465 nucleotides) under uncultured bacterium. Its description in RNAcentral is "partial 16S ribosomal RNA". It matches the Rfam family "Bacterial small subunit ribosomal RNA", at positions 28 to 507 of the family's 1533-position model. The record is from RNAcentral.